RNAcentral lists this ribosomal RNA (468 nucleotides) under uncultured bacterium. RNAcentral describes it as "partial 16S ribosomal RNA". It matches the Rfam family "Bacterial small subunit ribosomal RNA", at positions 28 to 507 of the family's 1533-position model. The record is from RNAcentral.
GACGAACGCUGGCGGCGUGCUUAACACAUGCAAGUCGAACGGAAAGGCCCUGCUUUUGUGGGGUGCUCGAGUGGCGAACGGGUGAGUAACACGUGAGUAACCUGCCCUUGACUUUGGGAUAACUUCAGGAAACUGGGGCUAAUACCGGAUAGGAGCUCCUGCUGCAUGGUGGGGGUUGGAAAGUUUCGGCGGUUGGGGAUGGACUCGCGGCUUAUCAGCUUGUUGGUGGGGUAGUGGCUUACCAAGGCUUUGACGGGUAGCCGGCCUGAGAGGGUGACCGGCCAAAUUGGGACUGAGAUACGGCCCAGCCUCCUACGGGAGGCAGCAGUGGGGAAUAUUGCACGAUGGGCGGAAGCCUGAUGCAGCAACGCCGCGUGCGGGAUGACGGCCUUCGGGUUGUAAACCGCUUUCGCCUGUGACGAAGCGUGAGUGACGGUAAUGGGUAAAGAAGCACCGGCUAACUACGUG